This 49-nucleotide non-coding RNA is filed under the name Trichobilharzia regenti. The record is from RNAcentral. Lineage: Eukaryota; Metazoa; Platyhelminthes; Trematoda; Strigeidida; Schistosomatidae.
GUACCACUGAAGAGUCCUAAAGGGUUAGGACGAAACAGCCGUCCAGUAC